GGAGUUAGCCGGUGCUUCUUCUGCGAGUAACGUCACAGAUGUAAGGUAUUAACUUACACCCUUUCCUCCUCGCUGAAAGUGCUUUACAACCCGAAGGCCUUCUUCACACACGCGGCAUGGCUGCAUCAGGGUUUCCCCCAUUGUGCAAUAUUCCCCACUGCUGCCUCCCGUAGGAGUCUGGGCCGUGUCUCAGUCCCAGUGUGGCUGAUCAUCCUAUCAGACCAGCUAGGGAUCGUCGCCUAGGUGAGCCUUUACCUCACCUACUAGCUAAUCCCACCUGGGCUUAUCCAUCAGCGCAAGGCCCGAAGGUCCCCUGCUUUCCCCCGUAGGGCGUAUGCGGUAUUAGCAGUCGUUUCCAACUGUUAUCCCCCACAAAUGGGCAAAUUCCCAGGCAUUACUCACCCGUCCGCCGCUCGUCAUCUUCAAAAGCAAGCUUUUGAAAUGUUACCGCUCGACUUGCAUGUGUUAGGCCUGCCGCCAGCGUUCAAUCUGAGCCAUAAUCAAACUCUGA
Molecule: ribosomal RNA, 511 nt
Filed under: uncultured bacterium
Lineage: Bacteria
Description: partial 16S ribosomal RNA
Source: RNAcentral